This 305-nucleotide ribosomal RNA is filed under the name uncultured bacterium. Its description in RNAcentral is "partial 16S ribosomal RNA". It matches the Rfam family "Bacterial small subunit ribosomal RNA", at positions 508 to 807 of the family's 1533-position model. The record is from RNAcentral.
ACAGCAGUAGCCGCGGGAAUGCGAAGGGUGCAAGCGUUAAUCGGAAUUACUGGGCGUAAAGCGUGCGUAGGCGGUUUGUUAAGUCUGUUGUGAAAUCCCCGGGCUCAACCUGGGAAUGGCAAUGGAUACUGGCAAGCUAGAGUGUGUCAGAGGAUGGUGGAAUUCCCGGCGUAGCGGUGAAAUGCGCAGAUACCGGGAGGAACAUCAGUGGCGAAGGCGGCCAUCUGGGACAACACUGACGCUGAGGCACGAAAGCGUGGGGAGCAUACAGGAUUAGAUACCCCGGUAGUCCCUGUCUCUUAUAC